This 1141-nucleotide long non-coding RNA is filed under the name Anolis carolinensis (green anole). RNAcentral's name for it is "lncRNA (ENSACAG00000043585.1)". Lineage: Eukaryota; Metazoa; Chordata; Lepidosauria; Squamata; Anolidae. The record is from RNAcentral.
AUUGCGCAAAAAAUCUUAGUGAGCCAACGGUAAAGGCAGAUGAUGGAGAAGACCAAGGACCGUCAACAGACAAACAAGUGGGAGAGAUCCAGAUCACAGGUCCCAAGAGACAAAUAAUUGUUGGAAUAGAAAAUGAUGACUCCACUUGCCUUGUAGACAAUGAGGAGUCUGGGUCUCCAGGCAAAGAAGUGCCAGACAGAACUAAUGAAUCUUCGCAAGAAGGGACAAAAGUGAGAAGCAAGACACAAGACCAAUCUCUGCCAUGCAAUCAAGAAGCACAGAACUAAUAAAAGGCAGAACAUGCUGGGAUCCCAAGAGGCUGAAGGACAACAUGCUAACCAAGCAGAGCUGCUUACAAAAGAAGAUGAGCACAAUUUCCCCUCUGCCACUGUCUCUGCAGCCAGCUCAGCCUCUACCUUCCAGCUCUCAUUUAACACACCACCCACUGCAGGCAUUUGCCUGUUUCGGAGCCAGUUUUGUCUUGAAAUUGCCUAUUCAAGUUUUGGCAUCACUCCCCCCAAACACAUCUGUGUGCCAAAGGACAGGAAAAAUGACAGGCAAAGAGCUUCCCUGAGGAAAAAAGGAAGGAAAGCACAUACUCUUUUAUUUCCCAUACCUAACUUUGAUUUCUUCCUCACCACUCCCUUUAUCAUCAUGGGCAUGUGAUAAGCCAUGGUUAUCAACUGUAUGCACUUUAUUUUAUUUAAACACUAGUUUUAUUUAAAAUGUAGAUUUCUUUUGAAGACAUCCUCCCUUUUUCUCUCUCUCUUGGAUGAUAGUCAAUGCUUUCAAGCUCUGGAAAAUUGUUGCUCCAGAAACAAAAUUUUGCAUUGCCAAAUUGUGUUUCGGUUAGAAAUUAUUGUGAUUAUACUAAAGGUGGUUGAGGACAUAGUAAUUCAGGGGAAUUACACCGUGACUUAGUAUGAGUGUGUCAGAGUGAUAUUGAGGGACCAGUGGUAGAGCAAAUUUAGGCUACGAUUUUCUCAGAUCACACUUUUGACUGCAACAGUUUUGAAUUGGUGACUAUUGUUACCUUCAUAGUUCAUUACAAGAAACAGUACUAAAUAUGUAUAGAGCUGCUUAUUUUCCCAGGUGUUUCAUUAGAGCAUGUAGGUGGCCAUGUGAAUCCAAAUGGAAUAGA